RNAcentral lists this ribosomal RNA (350 nucleotides) under uncultured bacterium. RNAcentral's name for it is "bacterial SSU rRNA". It matches the Rfam family "Bacterial small subunit ribosomal RNA", at positions 22 to 356 of the family's 1533-position model. The record is from RNAcentral.
GCUCAGGAUGAACGCUGGCGGCAUGCCUAAUACAUGCAAGUCGAACGGAGCGAAUAUGGAAGCUUGCUUCUGUAAGAGCUCAGUGGCGAACGGGUGAGUAACACGUAGGUAACCUGCCCAUGUGCCCGGGAUAACUGCUGGAAACGGUAGCUAAAACCGGAUAGGUGAAUAGGAGGCAUCUCGUAUUCAUUAAAGGACCUGCAAAGGUGCGAACAUGGAUGGACCUGCGGCGCAUUAGCUGGUUGGAGUGGUAACGGCACACCAAGGCGACGAUGCGUAGCCGACCUGAGAGGGCGAACGGCCACAUUGGGACUGAGACACGGCCCAAACUCCUACGGGAGGCAGCAGUA